UCUCCGUAGGUGAACCUGCGGAGGGAUCAUUACACAAUAAAAUAUGAAGGCUGUACGCGGCUGUGCUCUCGGGCCAGUUUUGCGGAGGCUGAAUUAUUUAUUACCCUUGUCUUUUGCGCACUUGUUGUUUCCUGGGCGGGUUCGCCCGCCACCAGGACCACAUCAUAAACCUUUUUUAUGCAGUUGCAAUCAGCGUCAGUAUAACAAAUGUAAAUCAUUUACAACUUUCAACAACGGAUCUCUUGGUUCUG
Molecule: unclassified non-coding RNA, 251 nt
Filed under: Curvularia lunata
Lineage: Eukaryota; Fungi; Ascomycota; Dothideomycetes; Pleosporales; Pleosporaceae
Also listed under: 1 other name
Description: partial contains small subunit ribosomal RNA, internal transcribed spacer 1, and 5.8S ribosomal RNA
Source: RNAcentral